UACAGAGGUCCCGAGCGUUGUUCGGAAUCACUGGGCGUAAAGGGUGCGUAGGCGGGUCUUUAAGUCAGGGGUGAAAUCCUGGAGCUCAACUCCAGAACUGCCUUUGAUACUGGGGAUCUUGAGUUCGGGAGAGGUGAGUGGAACUGCGAGUGUAGAGGUGAAAUUCGUAGAUAUUCGCAAGAACACCAGUGGCGAAGGCGGCUCACUGGCCCGAUACUGACGCUGAGGCACGAAAGCGUGGGGAGCAAACAGG
RNAcentral lists this ribosomal RNA (253 nucleotides) under uncultured bacterium. Its description in RNAcentral is "partial 16S ribosomal RNA". It matches the Rfam family "Bacterial small subunit ribosomal RNA", at positions 524 to 776 of the family's 1533-position model. The record is from RNAcentral.